This is a transfer RNA of Ovis aries (sheep), 72 nucleotides long. It matches the Rfam family "tRNA". Rfam says of the family: Transfer RNA (tRNA) molecules are approximately 80 nucleotides in length. The record is from Rfam. Lineage: Eukaryota; Metazoa; Chordata; Mammalia; Artiodactyla; Bovidae.
UCUCAGGUGGCUCAGCAGGAAAGAAUCUGCCUGCCAAUGCAGAAGAUGCAGGUUCGAUCCCUGGCUUGGGAA